RNAcentral lists this ribosomal RNA (480 nucleotides) under Fusarium hypothenemi. RNAcentral describes it as "partial large subunit ribosomal RNA". It matches the Rfam family "Eukaryotic large subunit ribosomal RNA", at positions 67 to 558 of the family's 3401-position model. Lineage: Eukaryota; Fungi; Ascomycota; Sordariomycetes; Hypocreales; Nectriaceae. The record is from RNAcentral.
AACAGGGAUUGCCCCAGUAACGGCGAGUGAAGCGGCAACAGCUCAAAUUUGAAAUCUGGCUCUCGGGCCCGAGUUGUAAUUUGUAGAGGAUGCUUUUGGUGAGGUGCCUUCCGAGUUCCCUGGAACGGGACGCCAUAGAGGGUGAGAGCCCCGUCUGGUUGGACGCCGAACCUCUGUAAAGCUCCUUCGACGAGUCGAGUAGUUUGGGAAUGCUGCUCUAAAUGGGAGGUAUAUGUCUUCUAAAGCUAAAUACCGGCCAGAGACCGAUAGCGCACAAGUAGAGUGAUCGAAAGAUGAAAAGAACUUUGAAAAGAGAGUUAAACAGUACGUGAAAUUGUUGAAAGGGAAGCGCUUGUGACCAGACUUGGGCUUGGUUGAUCAUCCGGGGUUCUCCCCGGUGCACUCUUCCGGCCCAGGCCAGCAUCAGUUCGCCCUGGGGGACAAAGGCUUCGGGAACGUGGCUCUCUCCGGGGAGUGUUA